GAUGAACGCUGGCGGCGUGCCUAAUACAUGCCAGUCGAGCGAACAGACGAGGAGCUUGCUCCUCUGACGUUAGCGGCGGACGGGUGAGUAACACGUGGAUAACCUACCUAUAAGACUGGGAUAACUUCGGGAAACCGGAGCUAAUACCGGAUAAUAUAUUGAACCGCAUGGUUCAAUAGUGAAAGACGGUUUUGCUGUCACUUAUAGAUGGAUCCGCGCCGCAUUAGCUAGUUGGUAAGGUAACGGCUUACCAAGGCAACGAUGCGUAGCCGACCUGAGAGGGUGAUCGGCCACACUGGAACGGAGACACGGUCCAGACUCCUACGGGAGGCAGCAGUAGGGAAUCUUCCGCAAUGGGCGAAAGCCUGACGGAGCAACGCCGCGUGAAUGAUGAAGGUCUUCGGAUCGUAAAACUCUGUUAUUAGGGAAGAACAAAUGUGUAAGUAACUAUGCACGUCUUGACGGUACCUAAUCAGAAAGCCACGGCUAACUACGUG
RNAcentral lists this ribosomal RNA (497 nucleotides) under uncultured bacterium. RNAcentral describes it as "partial 16S ribosomal RNA". It matches the Rfam family "Bacterial small subunit ribosomal RNA", at positions 28 to 507 of the family's 1533-position model. The record is from RNAcentral.